This 301-nucleotide ribosomal RNA is filed under the name uncultured bacterium. RNAcentral describes it as "partial 16S ribosomal RNA". It matches the Rfam family "Bacterial small subunit ribosomal RNA", at positions 509 to 807 of the family's 1533-position model. The record is from RNAcentral.
CAGUCGCCGCGGUAAUACAGAGGGUGCGAGCGUUAAUCGGAAUUACUGGGCGUAAAGCGCGCGUAGGCGGUUUUGUAAGUCAGAUGUGAAAUCCCUGGGCUCAACCUGGGAACUGCAUUUGAUACUGCAUGGCUAGAGUAUCGAAGAGGGAAGUGGAAUUUCCGGUGUAGCGGUGAAAUGCGUAGAUAUCGGAAGGAACACCAGUGGCGAAAGCGACUUCCUGGUCGAAUACUGACGUUCAUGUGCGAAAGCGUGGGGAGCAAACAGGAUUAGAUACCCCCGUAGUCCCUGUCUCUUAUAC